GAGUGACAAGUGCAUGCGCCGCCAAAACUAGAGUUGCCUGUCCGGGACUCCUCGGUUCUUAUGCUUGCAGCUGGAGGUGGCACUGGCAUUGGUUCCGAGGAAUCUAGUGACUCUUCCAGACCUCCAACUUUGUCACAAAGCUUCUCCAGCAGGAUGUUCUCGCAGGAGAACAAGGCCUUGACGUACUCUAUCGAAGCCGACGGGUCUGGUAUCUCGAGUAGAAAGUCCGCAAGACUUAGCUUCGCAGUGUGCUUGGCGAGUUCGUCUUCUUCUUGCUCCGUCUGCCGCGGUGGAGUAGCCGCCUGUGGCAAGUCAAGCAAGUCCGCCAGCUCGGACAUCAAUUUCUUCUCCGCACCAGAGGAAAGAGAGGACUCCGGUCUUUCCAGCUGCUCAAGCAGCGUAAAAGUUGCAUCAAAAUCAAGCGAGGCAGAGGUUUUGCGCUUUGGAGUGGAAAUCGCAGUCUCAGCACCAGUCCCAGGAACGUUCUCAGCAGCGACUUGCAUAGCUCGGCUGUCUGGAUUCAUAACCGGCGUCGCGUAGUCAGCCUGCUCUGGAACUGGAGGGAACUCAAAGCUUUCAUCGUUUCUUCUGUCGACACACUCCGACAGGUCCAGUGGCAGUAGCCGAGCCAACUCCGUAAGAAUUUCCUCCUCCUUUUGUUCUGAUAACUCAGAAGAAUAGAGAAUGUCGAGGUUGCGAACGCUGGAACUACGACAUUCUACAGCUUCUUCGUGAAGAUCUUGCAGCCUGUCGACUCCUCCUUCCUUCUUCUUGGCGGAUGGCGUAGCGAAACCUUUCUCAUCGUCGCUGGAACUUUGCUUCAAAGGUUGGUUCUCCGAGUCUAGUUCGACUGCAGACUCGGAACUCAAGAAACUGUAUUCCAGUCCCAAACGUUGAAUGCUCAGAUCGUCUAUGAGCCUCCCCGGCUCGUGGUGGGAAGAGCAAAGGUUUAAAGCUGUGGAAGAAAUGUCCAUGAAAGGGAGUCUUCGUACUUGAAGCCUGGCGUGCUUGUUAACAAUCGGCAAUCGUCUUUCCGCAGCUAGGACUUUCAAACCUGUAGAUGGAGAAACAUUUAGAAAAUCCUUGGCAAAGAGAGAUGAAGGGGAGCCUCACCGUGCUUCAGCUUGCAUUCUAUUCGUUUGUCCAGAUUCGUAAACUUGGAAGUUGAUGGAUAGAUCUUACAUUCGGGUCUCGCAGGCGACGGAAAGGGAGAGACGUGCUUGUGAUUCUCUUCCAGGUACCUGCAAACCUUGCUCCAGUAAUACGUCGUCUUCUCUCUCUGAGGACCUUGAGGACCACCUACAGUCUCAAAGAGGAAAAAGGAACCAUCAGCAAAGCUGCUACGUUCCAUCCAUCACACAACUUCAUACCAUUGUGAAUCUUAGCUAGAAUUUCCCAGUCAUGUUGUGUUAGAGCUUCCGAGCAGUACCUCAUCCAAUAUGCCACCACUGUGUUCUCCGCGUGCUCUAAAUCUCUGGACUAACUACUGUAAGAAACCAACGAAGAAAAAUAGAGAACGAAGAAAGACACAUACCGGCAGCGUAGCCACGAUGCUCGCUUGUUUUUCCAGGCAUCGACAUGGUAGUGCUCGGAGAUCUGGAGAGGCCCAAUGCUGGCACCACCGUCUCCAUCGGGACAAUCCACCCUAUUGCUCGACUCCACAAACCUGAUAGCAUCAAGGAGGGGACGAAGCUGUGCUCGAUAAGCUCGCAUCGCGUCCUCCACACUGCCCUGCCGCUUCUUCUUCCGCGACAUUGUGACGCUCUUGCGGACAUAGCUCGCCUGCUGCUGCUGAUGCCUUGCCCGUCUCUUCUUCUUCUGCGAUGACGACGGCCUGGCCGGCAGAGCGAGCCCAUUCUCGGAGAAUCGAGACACGCCCGGCAUGGAGAGAAGCUGUGGCGUGCAAGAAAUAUGAAUUUUAACCUAACACGCCCAACGGUCAACAUCCAGCCCUAAAAUCUAGCCUAAAUUUCAAGUCAAAAAGAAAUAAUCGCCACCGUCGGUUCUUUGACCCAUCUGAGCCCUUGAAUUCCUGUAUAAGGAGCUUUCCGGUCUGGUGAGAAAUUUGCAAGGCCUCAAUGAGCUGCUCCACGCUCAAUUGAAAGCGGAGGCCGACCAACUAGAGAGUGUUGCCCUGUAGAACUUAAUAUGCAUGCAGCUCCUAUAGGCUAUAGCCCUCUUGGUUGGAUUCGAUGUAGGCUUGCUGGGCUGGGCAUUUGUGGAUGGAUGGAUUGCUCCAUAGCAACAGGAGAACAGCAAAGCGGUGGAGAUGCAGUGGAGAUGGUGAUAGCCACAGUAGCAUUGAAAAUCUAGCCCCCAUGAGCACAAUUGCCAUUAUAAUCGCCGAACAGAAUCACCAAAUGGAGCUGUUCGACUGCGUUUGGUUGAUUGCGUUUGGCUGACCACGUUCGGUGGUGGUCGGGAUUCCUGCUGAACGCGGUCAGGACCAACAAUGUGCUCAACUUGGUGAAGUUGUCCACAAGAUUAAGCUCCCAGAGUUCAAACCCAAGCAGGGGGUGAAGAUUAUUGCCAAUGAGAAGGCCACCAACUCAAAGCAUUCUUUCUAAUUGCUGGAAAUUCUUGCAAAGGAUUGCUAUGCCAUGUUCUUGAAUCUUGAUGUAAUGGAUUUAUGCAUAUUAUAGAGAAAGAUUCUCUUGGAUCUGGUUUAACAAGGUUUGGGGUGGAUAAGCUGGACGAUCGAUUGAUCAAUGGGGGACAAUGUGAUUCAAUGUUUCAAAGGUGAUGAGCUUUUUUUGGCGCUAGGGAUGAUUGGCUUGAUUCUAUACUUGCUGCUCAGUGCCUUUGCACAUCGAAGUGCCUUGAUACAACACCUCAAACAUCUAGCAUAUCAAAACCUCAAGCAUUGCAAAAAAGAGGCUCAUCCUCCUCCUCGUCAUUGGCCUCCUGGCCAGCAAGUGCCAUGCCCAGGAUCAAAGAGCUAAUUGCUCUGAUACUAUGAAAGUAGUGGAAAGAUAAUGCAUAUAAAAAGGAAGAACAUUGUAUCUCAAUUAUAUACAUAUACAUAAAACUAUAUAACAUAUCAUCUCUACCUUUAACAUUCUCUUCUCAGCCUGUUCAGAAUAGUGAGACCAAUGAGGAUUUUAAUGUUCCAUGGCAAGGAGUUACAAUAUAAACAUUCUUACAAUGUUUCUUCUUUUCUCAACAUGCCAAGAACAAUGAGACUAGCGAGGAUUUGAGCAUACAAGGUGCUGGCAUAGAAGUUCUAAUGUAGGUGUUCCCUUGUCAAUGUCUCUCAAGUGGAAUGGCAUUGGAUGAUGGGUAAUUGGCAAAGCGAGGCUAAGUGUUUGGAUGAAGAUUUGGGUGUUUGCAACUAGACAAUAUGAUAUUGCGAGGAGAUGUGGGCUCUAAAGGGCCAUGGCAGUGAAGCGUCCUUCUCAAAGAGAGAAAUUGGGUACUUUGGGAAAUUGUGUUCUAUGAUGGAUAUAGUAUGUCGAAAGACAGCUCGAUAUUGGUUGUGUGGAAAAUGUAGAUGUGUUCCCAGAUUGUUGCAAGUUCAUAGAUGUUGGUAUGACUUAUCAAUUGAUUGCAUAUAUGUAUUGCUCUAGUAUGAUAUUUUGGCACGUUGACUUCUCCAAUCGGACAAACUUAAGAUGCCCAUUGGGUGGGCAUCGAAUGGUACAUGACAUGGGCCAUACCUCUGGGGCAUGCAUGUGUCAUGGAUGAUCCAUUGAUGAAUCUCAUCAGCAUGUCAAGGAUUUAGCGAGGAGUCAAGUAAGUUUUAGUAUGCUCUCCUUUGAAGCCACUUUAAUUUCUAUAGUGUGGCAGCCAAUUGUUGCAAUAGUGAAAUUAGUUUGGAUUUUAAUGGUAACUAGAAUUGUUUGAGCCUAAGAUUGUAUCAAUUAAUAUAUUUUUACUCCAACCCAAAUCAUUUCAUUCCUAUCAUAAUCAAGUGUAGUGCUGAAAGAUGAACAAAGUGUGGUGACUCUAUUGAGCUACAAUUUCAACUCUUCUUCAAUUAGUAAGAGUGAAGAUGGAGAAAGCAACAUUUUAGUAGUGAGUAAAUAAAUUUUUUAAAUAUGCAAAACUUUAAUAAUUUUUUACAAUUAAGGGAAUUUACUAUUAUGUUAUCAUGCAAAUCAUGCAGCCAACAAUUUAUAUAUUGGUGGUCCAUUAAAAUUGGGGGUGGGUGUAUACUAUAGGAUUCAGAUAGAGGAAGUCCUUCACCACAUUUGGACCAUGAAUUGUGUUGGGACAAAUUAGGGGUCUUGUUAUCAAGUAAUUAGUUAGUGUUCUUUUCAUUCAAAUUAUAGGCUAUGACAAUGUUCAUUCCUAUAUAACCAAUAGUAAAUUCUAAUUUCUCCUAUGACUAUAUGAGCACAUGUUGACUAUGUGGGGUAAUGGGUUGAAUUUAUAUUGAAGAUGUUGCAAUUAAUAUAGAUUGGUAGCCAUAAAUGGAACUCUAAUGAAUCUAUCACAAAAUGGUGGAGUGAUAGUUAGAGUUGCUUGACAAGCCACAUAUUCUUACCUUUGAUUACCUCAUAAAUCCACCACUUCUAGUUGUCAGUAAAUCCUAAUCUAAGAACCAAGCACCUCUGGAGUUAUCUCAUAUUGAUCAUCUAAAACACCUAAAGUAGUGGCAAAAUUGUAAGUAGCCACUCUCCCCAUUGCACUUUGGUUGUUAAACAGAAUUUUCCAAAUAAUUGCUACCAUGCAAUGGUUAACGACUUCUUCAUAGUCAAACUUGAUGUCCACCAGCCUUGAGGGUCCAUUAAUCUUGAUAUCCACCAGCCAGAGUGUAAUCCAUGGCCUUGAUGAAGCAAGAGUUGCUUUUGGUGAUGAGUGAAGGAUGUUUUGUCGUCAUUGGUGAGUAAUGGCUUUUAUUCAAUAAAUCAUAGGGCAAGUCAUUCAACAAGUUUGUGGAGACCACAAGCAAGUAAAUACUCCAAACCUUUUAUAUUAGCUGUAAAUAAUGAAUCUUUGCUCGUGAAAAACUAUUAUAGGGUUUGAGUUUUAUGUCAAAGAUAAAAGUUAAAUGGCUAAUAUAUAUAAAUUGCAUUGGCAAAAGUUUUCUUUAUAAGCCCAACCUUCUAGGCUACAUACUUAUCUUGUAGAGUCCUUUGGACUUACAUGUAGUAUUGUGGGUAGAGUUGUAUCUUCUGAAGUGGCCAAAGACACUUAUUAUUGUGUUGCAUGCUAGAAACUUUCUCAGUGUAAUAUGUUUUUAUAUGUUUUGAAAUAUAUAUACCAAAGGUGGUGACAUAUGUACUACAUUUGCACUAGCAAAAGCUAAAAGGAGAUUAUAACACAUUUGAGUGAACACGUACAGAACAUCUAGCAAAUCAAUAGAAAACACACAAAGAGAAUGAAUGUACUCAAGAGCAUGUCCAGGUUUGUCUUUCUUGACCUUCUUCAGUUUGUAACACUUGUAGGCAUUCAUACAAGUAUAGAGAUGAUGCAAAAUAUGUAUCACUUGUUCAAUCAAGAAUCAAAAUAAGUAUUUAUGGUGAUUUUACUCUUAUAAUUGUGUAGAUUUUACACUUUGGAUCAGAUUGGAUACAUUGGGUGCUAUGUUUCUAGGCAUUAACUUUGCUUUUAAUAUGGUCUUUAUUCAAUUGACCACCUCAUAAUUCACACAAAUCAGGUGACUAAUCUAUGACUUGUGUUAUGGUUAACUUCAAAAAUGUUUUACAAUGACAUGUCAUUUGGAUAUUCAAGAGCUUUGGCCUCUGGUUGGAUCAAGCCCAUUAAAUUUAAGAGCAAGAGUAUUGAUUAAUUGAGGGAUUGGAAUGCUUGAAAUCUGUAGUAUAGGGGGAUUGUAACUUAAAUACAUGAGCAAGCCAUGCUAGAGGGGUGGGUGUUGUGGCAGCAUGUAAACAGUCAAAUGCAAUGGGAUGUAAUUGUCUCUUCACCGUACCUCAUUUAUAUUUUUUAUCAUGCCACAUUCAAUUAAUUCUAAUAAUCUUGUAGUUCAAUCCAAUUAGUCUUUGAUUUCCUUGAUUUGGGAUUGAUAAGAUGAUGUUUUAUUUAAUUAUAUAUAUAAAGAAUAACAUUUUUACUAUUGAGCGAAAGUUAAUUAACUUUCACAAUGGAAGUAAAAAAAACAUCCACUUCCUCCUUCCUUUUCACAUGUUGAAGUAGUUUAAAAAUGUUAAGUUUGCCCAAAGAUAAUAGUUUUUUUGUGAAUUUAAUUAAAAAUUCAAAAUUAGUAAACAAUUUAAAACUUAGAAAUUCUUAAUUGUCAUUUAAAUUGUUCAUCUUUUGAAUUUAGUGUGCCUUUUAUUUUUUCUUUUUAUUUUCCUAGCCUCCUUAAUUUUUAUUUUAAAUUCUAACUAACAAUUUAAACCACCACUGCCUAAAAAACAAUAAUGUUUCUUCUUUUUCUUGAAGAGAUACCAAGAAUUUCGCUAGACUAAUUAAUUUGUUUUUUCGGCAAUUCAUAAAUUACAGACCUUACAGAAUAUUUUUAAAUAUUUUAAUUUUAAUGUUAACAUUGGGAUUUUAGGAAAAAAUGCUAGUCUAAUUUAAUAUUUAUUUUUGGUGUGAAUAAAUUAAUAUUAAAUUAAAGUCUAUAAAAAUGGUGUGAACACUUUACUAUUAAAUUAAUUAGUUCCAAGGAUUUUAUUUUGUAUGUUGGCUUUUUGAAUUAGUAAUGAAGAAUUUUUAAAAAAAAAUUUAAUUUUAUUAAUUUUUUUAUAUAGUGUUUUUCGCUAAAACUUUAAUAUGCUGUAUAGUAGAUAUAUAUUUUUUCUUAAUGCUGAUCAUGAAUUUUAAGGGAAAAUAAAGAGAUUGAUCAUUAUAAUUUUAAAAUUCUCAAAAUAAAAAUAAAGUUUCUUAUAGUCGGAAUAAAUAUGGAUAUAUAUUGUUUUUGAAAUUUUUUCUAGAGGAAAUUUAUUUAAAGUAACAUUACUCAAUUUUGGCAUCAAACAUUCAAAAUGUGUUAAAAAUAAUUAAUUGUGCUAAAGAAGUAAUAUUAAAAUAUAAUUUUAAGAUUUACAUGGUUGUUAUAACCUUUAAUUAAGGUAAAUAUUUUUAUUAUUAUUUAAGAUGUUAAUUUGUUUUAAAGGUUGAACAUUUAUAAAAUUUAUGUGUUUUGGGAAGUAAAAAAGAGGAUUUGUGAUCAAUCCUAAAUGUGAAUAAAAUACAUUAAUGUGAAUUAAGUAUGAAUAGGAAUAUAUUAAACUAACUAAUUGAAUGGGUAUAUAAACCAUUCAUCAUUAAUUUAGGUGUUUUUAAAAAAAUAUUAAAUGGUACUAUUAACUAAUAUCCUAAAUGUGAAUAAAAUACAUUAAUGUGAAUUAAGUAUGAAUAUGAAUAGAUUAAACUAACUAAUUGAAUGGGUAUAUAAACCAUUCAUCAUUAAUUUAGGUGUUUUUAAAAAAAAUAUUAAAUGGUACUAUUAACUAAUAUUGAUGUGAAAACAAUCUUUUGUAGCAUUGGGCCUGAAAUGCCAUAGCAUCCGCAACCCCUAUGUGGGUGUGCUCAACCCAAAGCAACUUGGUGAAGUUGUCAACAAAAUCAAGCUCCCAAAGUUCAAACUUAAACAGGGGGUGAAGAUUAUCACCAAUGAGAAGGCCACUAAUGUGAUUGCUUCUAGCUUGGAUGAUGCUGCCAACAUCUGAUUUAAAUCACUGCCAACAGGAGAAGGUCAAAAUUUUCUCUUUCGUUCUUUUUAUUUAUGGAGCUAGCUGAGAUCCCUGACGUGGACAAGCUGGAAAGAUCAUUCCAGCCAUUGUGACAACGGCACUAGUGACUGUGGAACAAGGUUUUCCAAGACAAGACGUUCACCAACUUGGCACUGCCGCUCUUCCCAAUGGCCAAGCCAAUUCCUCCCAAGUCGUUCAACCAUGUCAAGGGGACCUCUCCUGGAGAGAUUGACAGCCUACAGCAUCUCGUGUGGCCAAAGCCUGCUCUACAACAGCUUGUUCCAGAGCAGCUCAUUCGCCACAAGGCGCUGGAGGAUCCACCUGUGGAUGGAUUCAGAUACACCGGAGAGGCCUAAUCUCCUUGUGGACAUGUAUGGUAAAUGCGGCAGCUCCGCGGCACAAGGAGCGCAUGUCAGAGCUCGCAAAGGAGGUGGCGAAGCUGGUUCUAUGGGCUAGAGGUGAUUGUGAUAGAAGAAAAACAAACAAGAGUAACAAAUGUCUCUCAAUGGUUUUCUGAAUGGUGGUAUUUACAGAGCAGAUCACUCACCUAAUUAUAGAUGCGUUGCCUCGCUUGAGCAGCCUGAUUUGAAUGGCAGGUCAUCACAGGGAGAAAGAAGGCGGCGGUGGCACACCGCCACUAACAUCAGUGCUGUACGUCGCCAAGACCUCAGUUAGGCCUGCUCCCUAGAUCAUCACGUUCAAAGAUCAAAGAGAUUCUUGGCCGCCAGCACUGUGGAGAUCAUGCUCGACAAAAUACCACCACCACCUCCAGGAUUAGAAUAUCGCCGUGAAUUGCGUUUCUUGAAGUUGCAAUGUGCGCCCUUCGAGUGAUGAUCAUCUGCUGGUUGCUCGAUGGAAAAGGCGCAUAGUCCUUCCUCCCUAGUCGUGUUGCUCCACCGAAUUCUGUUCAGCUGCCUCGUCCUACAAUACUGCGAACAAAACAUGUUUUUGAUCUAUGUCCUUGCAACGGUCAUGAUCAUAGGAUCACUGCACUGGCAUCAUUCUCGAAGCUCACGCAGCUUCUCAUCGCUAGCAGCUGCUUCGUUUCCAUCACUAUCUCCUCGUAGUGGAUGACGGGCUUGGCCAGGCACUCGGCCUCCAUGAGCAGCUCUUUUGCUGCUGGUGUCCAUGCGCAUCGGAGCGCUGCUGGGCGUCCGCCCCAAUCACCGUCCCGAGGAUGUAAUCUGCAGCUUGCUGCCGCCCACCAUGGGAUCCCUGGGACUAUCAAACACUCCUCCUUCCCUGGACGACAGAGCGCGAGAUAAGAACGCAGACAUAGGUGCAUCGAUCAGGAACUGAGGCAGAACUUCGUGUUGCUCAAGCGGUAGAGUCGCCUAGCGAGUGUUGGACGUCUGGAUCAACACGUAGUGAAUAUGGAAAACACACGCUGUUUAUAGUAAGACUACUUUUGGGCAACGUAGCGAGCGAGUGGCAGGGAAAAAAACUUAUUUGCCAAUGGAAGUGAGAGGCAGACAACAGACACGCUCAAAGUGCACGACUUUCGACGUGGGAUGGUCUUCACCUGCUUCAGUUUGUCUGAUAGAAGCUGUUGACUCAAGUGAAAAAAAAUGAGUUUGUCACAGUACCUGGCCAACCUCGCGAUGUCAAAUUGGAUGCCAGAACAUGAAUCUGUCGUACGAGCUGCGACGCAUGGUUCCAUCAAUUCUUGGCGCGCCAACAAUCAUCUUUGGAGCGGAUGUCUCUCAUCCCAUGGCCCGCAAAGUCCCUCCAUCGUGGCGAGCAUGGACUGGCCAUCGGCGGUCAAGUAUCUCGCUUGGGCGAAGGAUCGAGCACCAGCAAGGAGAUGGUGGUCGAGCUCAUGAGGUAACACCCGACUUACGACAUCCAAUAUGCUGGAGAGUUUGUCUUCUACCUUUGCACUACCGCUUGACAAGAAUGGCUUCAAGAUCGAGCAGCCCCAUUUCCAAGCACUCUAGAAAAGGAUGCCGCAUCACUUUUUGGUUUGAUCCAAGCUGCCAGACAUGUUUGAAACUAUGCGAUUCAGCGGGAACAAGUACAUGAAGAGUCUUUUAGCUAGCUAGACUAGGAAAUAAUCGUUACCGUCGGUUGUCGGACGCAUCUGAGCCCUUGAAUCCUUGUAUAAGAAAGGGAAUAGAGAAAAGGAGGUAGGGAUGGAUACGAAGGAGACGACUCGCGUCACGGGACCGGAUGAGUAUGGUCUGAUUCAGGCGUUUACACCUGUGGAUUGGAACGGGCAGAAGCGAAUCCUCCAAGCGCUCUACGUCGUCGAAGAUGGCUUCCUUGAGGCUGCUGCGAAAGUGGACAAGUGGACUCCAGCCGUGAUCGAGGACGCAGUGCAGCGGAGAAUGAUCACGGAUUAUGGGGUUGCCAAUGUCGCCGAGGAUGAUCUUGUGGAGCCGAUUAGGAUCUACGAAGUGAGAGAGAGGAUGAUCAAGAAAGGGGUGCUCCCAGCAGAGUAUCAGUAGAAUGUCUAUAAUCAAAUAAUCCCUGCGCCUUGGCGGCAGAAUCCCAGGGAGAAUGCUUCUUCUCCUUCUUCCUCGCCAUUGCAGCAGGGUUUUUACUUCAAGUUCUUUCAAGUUCUUAGAUUGAGCGAGGACAUGGCGGUAAGCUUGGCGGUGAGGAUUUUCUAACAUACAGUCGUAGACAAAUGCCAAUUGUUAACAAGCACUCCAGGCUUCAGCUCCCUUUCACAGUAAUUUCUUCCAAUGGUAAACCAAUAUUGAAGUUCCACUUUCUACAAAAGCAACUCACAACUUUCAAACUAAUGGCGAAAUUCUUUCUGCCUGCGGCCCAGUUUUCCCAGGCAGGCAUUCGCUGAAAUACCUUCUCUCGAGGUCCUCAGAGGUAGAGGCUCACGAGCUCAGCGCUAUGAGAAUACCUGGCAAUGUUCUCUGUCAGUGUUAGUGCUCGCUCUAAGUUGAUGAGCUUUUUACCUCUUUGUAUCCCUCCACAUAAGGUUGUUGAUAGCCUGUGAACCCCCCAUGCCGAAUAGAGCUGAUGCCUCUCACUCCUGCUCGCAUAGGCGCCUAUGUUGAUGUAAAUCUUAUCUCUUUGCUGCUGUAUAAGCUCCUUUGCAGCCCUUCGAGACUUAGCACUCUUGUCGAUGUUCUGCAACGCGUGGAUCUCCCAGGCGAUGCACGGUGCCUCUUUUGUAGAAAGCUGAAAGAAAAGAAGCAUAAGUUUUGUAGCGCCUGGUGUAUACGGGAUUCACAUACCUCAGAUGAAGAGCUGACCGCAGUGAGCAUCUUAAACCUCAAGGAACGGGUCAGUAGAUCGACGUCUUGCUCCUCCCACACUGCACAGAGCCUCUUCAAGGACGAUGUCAAGCGAUUGUCGCUAGAGUGACAAGUGCAUGUGGCGCCAAAACUAGAGUUGCCUGUCCGGGACUCCUCGGUUCUUAAUGCUUGCAGCUGGAGGUGGCACUGGCGUUGGUUCCGAGGAAUCCAGUGACUCUUCCAGACCUCCAACUUUGUCAAAAAGCUUCUCCAGCAGGAUGUUCUCGCAGGAGAACAAGGCCUUGACGUACUCUAUCGAAGCCGACAGGUUUGGUAUCUCGAGCAAAAAGUCUGCAAGACUUAGCUUCGCAGUGUGCUUGGCGAGUUCGUCUUCUUCUUGCUCCGUCUGUCGCGGUGGAGUGGCCGCCCCAGCUCGGACAUCAAUUUCUUCUCCGCACCCGAGGAAAGAGAGGACUCCGGUCUUUCCAGCUGCUCAAGCCGCGUAAAAGUUGCAUCGAAAUCAAGCGAGGCAGAAGUUUUGCGCUUUGGAGUGGAAAUCCCAGUCUCAGCACCAGUCUCAGGAACGUUCUCAGCAGAGACUUGCAUAGCUCGGCUGUCUGGAUUCAUAACCGGCGUGGUGUAAUCAGCCUGCUCUGGAACUGGAGAGAACUCAAAAGCUUUCAUCGUUUCUUCGGUCGACACACUCCGACAGCUCCAGUGGCAGUAGCCGAGCCAACUCCGUAAGAAUCUGUGGAAGAAAUGUCCGUGAAAGGGAGUCUUCGUACUUGAAGCCUGGCGUGCUUGACAAUCGGCAAUCGUCUUUCCGCAGCUAGGACUUUCAAACC
RNAcentral lists this long non-coding RNA (11646 nucleotides) under Selaginella moellendorffii. RNAcentral's name for it is "long non-coding RNA (SMOE_LNC000828)". Lineage: Eukaryota; Viridiplantae; Streptophyta; Lycopodiopsida; Selaginellales; Selaginellaceae. The record is from RNAcentral.